UACGAAAGGUGCAAGCGUUAAUCGGAAUUACUGGGCGUAAAGCGCGCGUAGGCGGUUUGCUAAGUCAGAUGUGAAAGCCCCGGGCUCAACCUGGGAACUGCAUUUGAAACUGGCAGGCUAGAAUGCAGUAGAGGGAGGUGGAAUUUCCGGUGUAGCGGUGAAAUGCGUAGAGAUCGGAAGGAACACCAGUGGCGAAGGCGGCCUCCUGGACUGACAUUGACGCUGAGGUGCGAAAGCGUGGGGAGCAAAC
Molecule: ribosomal RNA, 250 nt
Filed under: uncultured bacterium
Lineage: Bacteria
Description: partial 16S ribosomal RNA
Rfam family: Bacterial small subunit ribosomal RNA
Source: RNAcentral